RNAcentral lists this ribosomal RNA (546 nucleotides) under uncultured bacterium. RNAcentral describes it as "bacterial SSU rRNA". It matches the Rfam family "Bacterial small subunit ribosomal RNA", at positions 9 to 551 of the family's 1533-position model. The record is from RNAcentral.
GAGUUUGAUCCUGGCUCAGGAUGAACGCUGGCGGCGUGCUUAACACAUGCAAGUCGAACGGAACACCCUAGAAGGAGUUUUCGGACAACUGAUAGGACUGUUUAGUGGCGGACGGGUGAGUAACGCGUGAGUAACCUGCCUUGGAGUGGGGAAUAACAGUUGGAAACAGCUGCUAAUACCGCAUAAUAUAUCUGGGUCGCAUGGCUCUGGAUAUCAAAGAUUUAUCGCUCUGAGAUGGACUCGCGUCUGAUUAGCUGGUUGGCGGGGUAACGGCCCACCAAGGCGACGAUCAGUAGCCGGACUGAGAGGUUGGCCGGCCACAUUGGGACUGAGACACGGCCCAGACUCCUACGGGAGGCAGCAGUGGGGAAUAUUGGGCAAUGGGCGCAAGCCUGACCCAGCAACGCCGCGUGAAGGAAGAAGGCUUUCGGGUUGUAAACUUCUUUUCUCAGGGACGAAGCGAGUGACGGUACCUGAGGAAUAAGCCACGGCUAACUACGUGCCAGCAGCCGCGGUAAUACGUAGGUGGCAAGCGUUAUCCGGAUU